This 376-nucleotide ribosomal RNA is filed under the name uncultured bacterium. Its description in RNAcentral is "bacterial SSU rRNA". It matches the Rfam family "Bacterial small subunit ribosomal RNA", at positions 524 to 898 of the family's 1533-position model. The record is from RNAcentral.
UACGUAGGGGGCAAGCGUUGUCCGGAAUCAUUGGGCGUAAAGAGCGCGUAGGCGGUCCGGUAAGUCAGCUGUGAAAGUCGGGGGCUCAACCCCCGGAGGCCGGUUGAUACUGCCGGGCUAGAGUCCGGAAGAGGCGAGUGGAAUUCCUGGUGUAGCGGUGAAAUGCGCAGAUAUCAGGAGGAACACCAAUGGCGAAGGCAGCUCGCUGGGACGGUACUGACGCUGAGGCGCGAAAGCGUGGGGAGCAAACAGGAUUAGAUACCCUGGUAGUCCACGCCGUAAACGAUGGACACUAGGUGUGGGAGGUGUCGACUCCUCCCGUGCCGGAGCUAACGCAUUAAGUGUCCCGCCUGGGGAGUACGGCCGCAAGGCUAAA